Molecule: ribosomal RNA, 429 nt
Filed under: uncultured bacterium
Lineage: Bacteria
Description: bacterial SSU rRNA
Rfam family: Bacterial small subunit ribosomal RNA
Source: RNAcentral
UGAGGAAUCUUGCACAAUGGGCGAAAGCCUGAUGCAGCGACGCCGCGUGGAGGAUGAAGGCCUUAGGAUUGUAAACUUCUGUUAAGUGGGAAGAAAUGUUUCGCUAUAAUACAGCGAAAAAAUGACGGUACCAUUAGAGAAAGCACCGGCUAACUACGUGCCAGCAGCCGCGGUAAUACGUAGGGUGCGAGCGUUAAUCGGAAUUACUGGGCGUAAAGCGUGCGCAGGCGGUUAUACAAGACAGGCGUGAAAUCCCCGGGCUUAACCUGGGAAUGGCGCCUGUGACUGUAUAGCUAGAGUGUGUCAGAGGGAGGUAGAAUUCCACGUGCAGCAGUGAAAUGCGUAGAUAUGUGGAGGAAUACCAAUGGCGAAGGCAGCCCCCUGGGAUAACACUGACGCUCAUGCACGAAAGCGUGGGGAGCGAACAGG